RNAcentral lists this ribosomal RNA (254 nucleotides) under uncultured bacterium. RNAcentral's name for it is "partial 16S ribosomal RNA". It matches the Rfam family "Bacterial small subunit ribosomal RNA", at positions 524 to 776 of the family's 1533-position model. The record is from RNAcentral.
UACGUAGGGUGCAAGCGUUGUCCGGAAUUAUUGGGCGUAAAGAGCUCGUAGGCGGUUUGUCGCGUCUGCUGUGAAAACCCGAGGCUCAACCUCGGGCCUGCAGUGGGUACGGGGCAGACUAGAGUGCGGUAGGGGAGAUUGGAAUUCCUGGUGUAGCGGUGGAAUGCGCAGAUAUCAGGAGGAACACCGAUGGCGAAGGCAGGUCUCUGGGCAUUAACUGACGCUGAGGAGCGAAAGCGUGGGGAGCAAACAGG